RNAcentral lists this ribosomal RNA (507 nucleotides) under uncultured Entrophospora. RNAcentral's name for it is "SSU rRNA". It matches the Rfam family "Eukaryotic small subunit ribosomal RNA", at positions 569 to 1073 of the family's 1831-position model. The record is from RNAcentral. Lineage: Eukaryota; Fungi; Glomeromycota; Glomeromycetes; Entrophosporales; Entrophosporaceae.
AGCAGCCGCGGUAAUUCCAGCUCCAAUAGCGUAUAUUAAAGUUGUUGCAGUUAAAAAGCUCGUAGUUGAAUUUCGGGAUUGACGUGAUGGUCGUACCUUAAGGGGUAUGAACUGUCGCUGUUGAUUUCUCACCUUCUGGAGAAACUUGAUGUCCUUAAUUGGGUGUCUCGCGGAUCCAGGACCUUUACCUUGAAAAAUUAGAGUGUUUAAAGCAGGCAUUUUUGCUCGAAUACAUUAGCAUGGAAUAAUAGAAUAGGACGGCAUGGCUCUAUUUUGUUGGUUUCUAGGAUCACCGUAAUGAUUAAUAGGGAUAGUUGGGGGCAUUAGUAUUCAAUUGUCAGAGGUGAAAUUCUUGGAUUUAUUGAAGACUAACUACUGCGAAAGCAUUUGUCAAGGAUGUUUUCAUUAAUCAAGAACGAAAGUUAGGGGAUCGAAGACGAUCAGAUACCGUCGUAGUCUUAACCAUAAAACUNUGCCGACUAGGAAUCAGACGAUGUUAAUUUUAUG